This 140-nucleotide ribosomal RNA is filed under the name uncultured eukaryote. RNAcentral describes it as "partial 18S ribosomal RNA". It matches the Rfam family "Eukaryotic small subunit ribosomal RNA", at positions 214 to 353 of the family's 1831-position model. The record is from RNAcentral.
AUACAAAACCAAACCGGGGCAACUCGGUCGUGGUGAUUCAUAAUAACUUUGCGAAUCGCAUGGCUUUACGCUGGCGAUGCAUCAUUCAAAUUUCUGCCCUAUCAACUUUCGAUGGUAAGGUAUUGGCUUACCAUGGUUAC